CAAGAAAAAGAAAAAAGAAUUCUAAGUACAACGAUCAUGGACGUGCUCUCUAUCUUCAUUCUAAUGACUCUGGUAGGAAAAUGUCAAGGGAACAUUUAUCUAAUUUAUCAAGGGGAAAAAUAAGAUAUAUCCCUACAAUGUGAAGGGAGUUUUUGGCAGAUUGACCUAGAUCAAAACAACAAGGUGGAUUGCACUUUUAAUGACAAUAAGAAGAAAUGUGACCAGGAUUUGAAUGGGAAGAACAGAACACUUGAACUAGAAGAAAAAUCCUGCAUAAAUCUAAGUAUUAAACAAUGCUUUAAUAUGAAAUUGGAAAAAAACAUCACUGGAUUUUUUGCGUGUUUCCGCAAUGUCCAAUCAAUUGAUGGAUACCUAUUCCCCUUUAAACCAUCAAAAGAUCUAGUGGCUUUUUAUAUUGUGGCAUUUGUUGCAUCAGAGAUGGUGAUACCUGACCCUGGUGUGGAAACUAAAACU
Coregonus clupeaformis (lake whitefish) is the source of this 474-nucleotide long non-coding RNA. RefSeq lists it as uncharacterized. The transcript is spliced from 3 exons. Lineage: Eukaryota; Metazoa; Chordata; Actinopteri; Salmoniformes; Salmonidae. The record is from RefSeq and is a predicted model, not a curated record.